GAUGAACGCUGGCGGCGUGCCUAAUACAUGCAAGUCGAGCGAACGGACGAGAAGCUUGCUUCUCUGAUGUUAGCGGCGGACGGGUGAGUAACACGUGGAUAACCUACCUAUAAGACUGGGAUAACUUCGGGAAACCGGAGCUAAUACCGGAUGAUAUUUUGAACCGCAUGGUUCAAAAGUGAAAGACGGUCUUGCUGUCACUUAUAGAUGGAUCCGCGCUGCAUUAGCUAGUUGGUAAGGUAACGGCUUACCAAGGCAACGAUGCAUAGCCGACCUGAGAGGGUGAUCGGCCACACUGGAACUGAGACACGGUCCAGACUCCUACGGGAGGCAGCAGUAGGGAAUCUUCCGCAAUGGGCGAAAGCCUGACGGAGCAACGCCGCGUGAGUGAUGAAGGUCUUCGGAUCGUAAAACUCUGUUAUUAGGGAAGAACAUAUGUGUAAGUAACUGUGCACAUCUUGACGGUACCUAAUCAGAAAGCCACGGCUAACUACGUGCCAGCAGCCGCGGUAAUACGUAGGUGGCAAGCGUUAUCCGGAAUUAUUGGGCGUAAAGCGCGCGUAGGCGGUUUUUUAAGUCUGAUGUGAAAGCCCACGGCUCACCCGUGGAGGGUCAUUGGAAACUGGAAAACUUGAGUGCAGAAGAGGAAAGUGGAAUUCCAUGUGUAGCGGUGAAAUGCGCAGAGAUAUGGAGGAACACCAGUGGCGAAGGCGACUUUCUGGUCUGUAACUGACGCUGAUGUGCGAAAGCGUGGGGAUCAAACAGGAUUAGAUACCCUGGUAGUCCACGCCGUAAACGAUGAGUGCUAAGUGUUAGGGGGUUUCCGCCCCUUAGUGCUGCAGCUAACGCAUUAAGCACUCCGCCUGGGGAGUACGACCGCAAGGUUGAAACUCAAAGGAAUUGACGGGGACCCGCACAAGCGGUGGAGCAUGUGGUUUAAUUCGAAGCAACGCGAAGAACCUUACCAAAUCUUGACAUCCUUUGACAACUCUAGAGAUAGAGCCUUCCCCUUCGGGGGACAAAGUGACAGGUGGUGCAUGGUUGUCGUCAGCUCGUGUCGUGAGAUGUUGGGUUAAGUCCCGCAACGAGCGCAACCCUUAAGCUUAGUUGCCAUCAUUAAGUUGGGCACUCUAAGUUGACUGCCGGUGACAAACCGGAGGAAGGUGGGGAUGACGUCAAAUCAUCAUGCCCCUUAUGAUUUGGGCUACACACGUGCUACAAUGGACAAUACAAAGGGCAGCGAAACCGCGAGGUCAAGCAAAUCCCAUAAAGUUGUUCUCAGUUCGGAUUGUAGUCCUGCAACUCGACUACAUGAAGCUGGAAUCGCUAGUAAUCGUAGAUCAGCAUGCUACGGUGAAUACGUUCCCGGGUCU
RNAcentral lists this ribosomal RNA (1373 nucleotides) under uncultured bacterium. RNAcentral describes it as "bacterial SSU rRNA". It matches the Rfam family "Bacterial small subunit ribosomal RNA", at positions 28 to 1381 of the family's 1533-position model. The record is from RNAcentral.